This 460-nucleotide ribosomal RNA is filed under the name uncultured bacterium. Its description in RNAcentral is "partial 16S ribosomal RNA". It matches the Rfam family "Bacterial small subunit ribosomal RNA", at positions 338 to 795 of the family's 1533-position model. The record is from RNAcentral.
CCUACGGGAGACAGCAGUGAGGAAUAUUGGUCAAUGGACGAGAGUCUGAACCAGCCAAGUAGCGUGAAGGAUGACUGCCCUAUGGGUUGUAAACUUCUUUUAUAUGGGAAUAAAACGUUCCACGUGUGGGAUUUUGUAUGUACCAUAUGAAUAAGGAUCGGCUAACUCCGUGCCAGCAGCCGCGGUAAUACGGAGGAUCCGAGCGUUAUCCGGAUUUAUUGGGUUUAAAGGGAGCGUAGGUGGAUUGUUAAGUCAGUUGUGAAAGUUUGCGGCUCAACCGUAAAAUUGCAGUUGAAACUGGCAGUCUUGAGUACAGUAGAGGUGGGCGGAAUGCGUGGUGUAGCGGUGAAAUGCUUAGAUAUCACGAAGAACUCCGAUUGCGAAGGCAGUUCACUGGACUGCAACUGACACUGAGGCUCGAAAGUGUGGGUAUCAAACAGGAUUAGAUACCCGAGAAGUC